Diospyros lotus (date-plum) is the source of this 2843-nucleotide long non-coding RNA. RefSeq lists it as uncharacterized. The transcript has 8 exons. The record is from RefSeq and is a predicted model, not a curated record. NCBI's taxonomy places the organism in Eukaryota, Viridiplantae, Streptophyta, Magnoliopsida, Ericales, Ebenaceae.
AUGAUCACGCGAUCGAAUUAGGGACUUGCUUCUAAUCGGCUUAGGGUUAGGGUUAGGGUUAGGGUUAGGGUUAGAUAAUGGACGUGAGACACAUCAAUCGUCCAUUAUUCCCAACUCCAAUGACCAAUCCUAGUUUUUCCCCCCCUCGGGUAUUUAUCUGGAACCAAUCUAUGGCCAUACUCAUCCAGAUUUCGAGUAAAAAAGGGAGGAACUGCUUAUUUCUAAGCAUUGAAUCAAUGAUUUACCACAUUUGCAUUGAAGCUCAGCAAUAGGUCAAGUUGGCAAGUGAUAACAAAGGUUGUAGAAAAGGACAACCUUUGCUAUCACUCCAAGUAGGUUGAUUUUUUUUUCUCUUCUAUGGCCUUUACCUUGGUACUGAUUAGAAUUGAAGAAUCAGUUUCAAGGUUACCUGUUGCUGGCUUUGAAGGAGUAUCCCAAGCUUACUGCUUGGGUUGAUGUCUCUCCUCCAUCUACCUGCAUAUAGGGUAAACCAGGCUACCGAGGAUGAAGACACUACACUACUAAUGAACCUGAGACUAAACCCUAUUUCAUAGUUCGUGAUUGGAAAAUCCAUAUCUAUGAUUUGUACGAGUAGGAAAAUAUGAAAGCUUUUGAAAAGGCCGUCAAUUGUAUUUUCUAUUCUGUUUUGGGGUAUCAAUGGCUUCAAAUAGGUAAUUCUCAUAGAUAGUGAGAUGUCAGAGUUGGUAUAAGUCUAAAUUUUCUAUGUGACCAUAAACGGGAAAUUUGUAUAUAUACAACUUUAUUCAAGUUAGAAAAUAUGAAUGCUUUUGAAGGGGUUGUGAUUUAUAUUUUGUGUUUGUGCUUCCAUACCAAUGGCUUCAAACUACCAAAUUUAGUUGUUUUCGGCAUUUAUUUAUUCUUCUUGUUUUGGCUAUUUGAAAAACUCCCUUUUUCUAAUUGGGCUUAGUGUACAAUCUUGUAAAGUUUUAUAGUAGUUGUAAAUGAUGAAUUACAGCCGAUUCUAUACAAGUUCUAUAGUUGUAAAAUGGGAUCUGCUGCUUGUAUAGCAGAGCAUGACAUUCUAAUGAUUUCCAAUUGCUUGGCAUAGUGGGGUGUAUGGAUUAUAUGUGCUACUUAUCCUAAUUUUUAAAAUAUAAAAGGCACUAUCAAAAUAGACCAAAUUUGGGAUGGGAGAGAUAAAUGAAAAUUGAAAGUUCUUAGCCCACCAGUACACUAAAAUCCCUGCCAAUAAUUCUCUCCUGUCUCUGUUGAAAUCACACCCACAGUGGAGGAGAGUUACUCAAAAUUAGGAAUGGCAAAGGCUAAAAACUCACAUAAUAUUGCACUAGCAUGGAAGAGAGGUCCCCAGAAUCAGGGACAACAACAGGUGAAGAACGCACAUAGGAAAAAUGUUGUCUCAUAGGCGAACUUUGGCGACGGAUGAUUUAUUUUAAUAGCCAAAAGGAACAAAAGCAGCAAUGUUGUUCUGGAAGUGGGUCAGAGCUAUGAACUACUAGUAGUUGUGCAUGGAAGUGUGUUUUUGCUGUGUGUUAUGGAAGUAGUAGGGAAUAAUUCUGUGAUUUUGAUUUAUUUUAGGUUGUUUUAUGCUAUGGAUUGACAUUGGUGUGGAGUUGUCUAUGUCUUGAAAUGCUAUUUUUUAUAUUCUAACACAGCUGCUCAGGUGGCAGUUUUUUUUUUUUUUGUUAACGCACUAUUACGAGCGCCCUCACUGUUCGGCCCCGUGAUAUCAGUAGGAGAUGUAAAUCAGAGGACUCAGUGGUCAGUUCAAUCCCUAGUGCUUCUGCAAACGUGAGGGCGCGAGUGGAGAGAGAUUUUAGGGUUUCAGAUUGAUUGGAAGUCACGAACAAUCGACCGCUUGCUUCUUAGAAGGUCAAAGGAAUUCGUCGGGUGUCUCAAUUUCUAGGUUAACCCAAGUGGAAGAGCGGCCAUGGAUCCCUGAGGCCAGCCGGUUUCGGAGUACCGACGGCAAUAAUUGGGGUCUAGUGGUUGGCCAGAACUACUUCGAGCGCCACAUGCACAGUGGCCGGAACAGUUCAAGAAAGCCUGUGGAAAUCCGUCAAUAUGGGAUGCCAUAGACUCCCCUGUUCUCAUGGUUCCCGUUCUACCUUGAAGGAAAUACAAGCUAUCCCAUACUCUCCGGGAAAUUGAGCAGGGGGAUUUUGCUAUAAACGCGGCUGGAGGAAAGCUCAUUCCAUAUGGCAUUGAUGGUUAUGGUACAACCAGACAUCCAUAACUCUUUAGUCAAAACAAACAAGAAUUCAUUUUGAUCAAAUCAGCAAGUUUCGUUUGUCUACUAUCAGCUGCUUUGAUACUUGAAGGAGAGCUAGGCGUGAAGCUGCUUGAAGAACUCGCUAGAAUCCUCUCCAACUGGUAUAGGAAGCAAAUCCAAGCCAUGAACAAAGUUUUUAAGCACUGCUGGCUGUCCAUUUCGGAAACUGCCACCUCCUUCACUAUGUUCCUGGUGGAUAUAAACCUAAUUCUUAUCGACAGUGGGUGAGAUCUAAGAAUUGGUGUCUGUCUUAACUUUUGAUUGGCCAUGAAUGGGAAAUUUGUAUCUAUUCUCUAUGCGGGUAGGGAAAUAGCUUCUUGCUAUGCAUCAGAGCUUCGUUCUGCAGCUUCUGCCUUAUUGUUUACUGUGGAAUUAAAAUAUGGUUGCUUUGUCUUCCUAGAAGUAGUUAAACUGCUGUCAAGCCCAGUUGUUUUGUGGAUAUUUUAAUCUCUCUUUUACCUUGUUUAGAUUAGCAUUAAGGAAUUCAAAUCCUUUAUUUUGUGUAUAUCUUCGUUAACCAGAGAAGGUGGUAUGGAACCAUUUGCUUUGUCUUCUCCUCAACGAAACCCUAGUGUAGUCCCUUUUUGGCUGA